This 241-nucleotide ribosomal RNA is filed under the name uncultured Conexibacter sp. RNAcentral describes it as "partial 16S ribosomal RNA". It matches the Rfam family "Bacterial small subunit ribosomal RNA", at positions 28 to 261 of the family's 1533-position model. Lineage: Bacteria; Bacillati; Actinomycetota; Thermoleophilia; Solirubrobacterales; Conexibacteraceae. The record is from RNAcentral.
GACGAACGCUGGCGGCGUGCCUAACACAUGCAAGUGGAGCGACGAACCAGGCUUCGGCCUGGGGCAAAGCCGCGAACGGGUGAGUAACACGUGGGUAACCUGCCCCGAUGAUUGGGACAACCCGAGGAAACUCGGGCUAAUACCGAAUGUGCCCUCCGACCAUAAGGUCGGCUGGGGAAAGGAAGCUUCGGCCUUCGCAUCGGGAUGGGCCCGCGGCCCAUUAGCUUGUUGGUGAGGUAAC